This 806-nucleotide ribosomal RNA is filed under the name uncultured Dechloromonas sp. Its description in RNAcentral is "bacterial SSU rRNA". It matches the Rfam family "Bacterial small subunit ribosomal RNA", at positions 92 to 887 of the family's 1533-position model. Lineage: Bacteria; Pseudomonadati; Pseudomonadota; Betaproteobacteria; Rhodocyclales; Azonexaceae. The record is from RNAcentral.
CGAGUGGCGAACGGGUGAGUAAAGUAUCGGAACGUGACCUUUCAGUGGGGGAUAACGUAGCGAAAGUUACCGACUAAUACCGCAUAUGUUCUGUGAGCAGGAAAGCAGGGGAUCGCAAGACCUUGCGCUGAUUGAGCGGCCGAUAUCAGAUUAGCUAGUUGGUGGGGUAAAGGCCUACCAAGGCGACGAUCUGUAGCGGGUCUGAGAGGAUGAUCCAGCCACACUGGAACUGAGACACGGUCCAGACUCCUACGGGAGGCAGCAGUGGGGAAUUUUGGACAAUGGGGGCAACCCUGAUCCAGCCAUGCCGCGUGAGUGAAGAAGGCCUUCGGGUUGUAAAGCUCUUUCGGCCGGGAAGAAAUCGCACAGGCUAAUACCCUGUGUGGAUGACGGUACCGGAAUAAGAAGCACCGGCUAACUACGUGCCAGCAGCCGCGGUAAUACGUAGGGUGCGAGCGUUAAUCGGAAUUACUGGGCGUAAAGCGUGCGCAGGCGGUUUCGUAAGACAGAGGUGAAAUCCCCGGGCUCAACCUGGGAACUGCCUUUGUGACUGCGAGGCUAGAGUACGGCAGAGGGGGGUGGAAUUCCACGUGUAGCAGUGAAAUGCGUAGAGAUGUGGAGGAACACCGAUGGCGAAGGCAGCCCCCUGGGCCGAUACUGACGCUCAUGCACGAAAGCGUGGGUAGCAAACAGGAUUAGAUACCCUGGUAGUCCACGCCCUAAACGAUGUCAACUAGGUGUUGGGUGGGUAAAACCAUUUAGUACCGUAGCUAACGCGUGAAGUUGACCGCCUGGGGAGUACGGCC